CCUGCCCCUGAGAGCAUGGCAAGUGUGACUGUUCUAUCACAUGCAUGUCAGUAGAUGGCAGAGAGGACCUUUGAUC
Molecule: small nucleolar RNA, 76 nt
Organism: Rattus norvegicus (Norway rat)
Lineage: Eukaryota; Metazoa; Chordata; Mammalia; Rodentia; Muridae
Product: small nucleolar RNA SNORA17
Source: Ensembl